UGCUAUCCACACGGGUGCCCUUGGCAAAGGGCUGAGAUCGGGCUGUUCCGCCUGCGACCGUUCGAACCUGUCCGGGUCAUUCCGGCGAAGGAAGUAGGAAGUACUGCUAU
This 110-nucleotide non-coding RNA is filed under the name Arthrobacter sp. RNAcentral describes it as "TPP sequence". It matches the Rfam family "TPP riboswitch aptamer (THI element)". Rfam says of the family: Vitamin B(1) in its active form thiamin pyrophosphate (TPP) is an essential coenzyme that is synthesised by coupling of pyrimidine and thiazole moieties in bacteria. The previously detected thiamin-regulatory element, thi box was extended, resulting in a new, highly conserved RNA secondary structure, the THI element, which is widely distributed in eubacteria and also occurs in some archaea. Lineage: Bacteria; Bacillati; Actinomycetota; Actinomycetes; Micrococcales; Micrococcaceae. The record is from RNAcentral. RNAcentral also lists the same sequence under 1 other name.